Molecule: long non-coding RNA, 2998 nt
Filed under: Olea europaea subsp. europaea
Lineage: Eukaryota; Viridiplantae; Streptophyta; Magnoliopsida; Lamiales; Oleaceae
Source: RNAcentral
CCCAAAAAUAUUUGCAAAGCCCAUUAAAACCCAAUUAAAAUGCAGGCGUAUCGAAGGAUAACCCAUGUCUGUUUAUCGGAAGGGGAAGAACGGUCUAGGUUUUCUUUCUCGGUAUUACACAAAAAAUUGGGAACAUAUAUAUCACCCCCGGGCACCGAUCAAUAUCGUUGCAGUGAUUUCUACUCAACCUCUUCAUCACCAAAAUUGAAAGGUAUUAUCGGAUUGUAUUAGUGUUUAAAAGGGCUUUAUAUGUUGAAAUCGACUCGAUUUGUUUGUUGUGAAUGAUUAAAUUUGAACUCAACUCCUCAUAAUUUAUUCUAUUUUUCCAUAAUUGUUGUUUCUCGAUGGUAAUGUUUCUCUAGCAGCAGUGAUUUUUUCAACAAUAUUUCUCUCGAAUUUUUGAUGCGGUUGUUUAUGGUUUUCCAUUGCCUUAAAAACUGGCUAUCCUAAUAGGUGAAAUUCCCAGGACCCAAAUCCAGUGUGGGCAACUAAACCUCAGGUGGCUCCGCCCCUUCAUGGACACUCUUGAGUAAAUUCAAUUCCAAGACUUCUAAAAUAAUAUUGAGGAAGAAAAUUUGAAAAAAUGACACUAAUUUUGACGUGUUCAUUUAUUUGUUCCACUGAUAGUUUUCAUCCCCUUUUCUUUGUUUAUGAAGAUCAACUAGGAUGACCAAAAUUUUCCAAGAAUAGGUUCUGGAGUUUGAAUAUAAGAAAAUGAUGGAUGUAACGUUUAUUUUGUAGAGAUGUUUAUUGAUGAGAUAACCUCUGUGUUUGUAGCUUGCUCAUUUGAAAAAACUGCAUAAGAAGCUGAAAACAGUUUUGGGUAAAUGAUUUUGGUUCUACUUUGGAAAAAAAGUUGCGUUAUAAAGAAAGAAAAGUUUUGAUUACGUUAUGGUGGAGUUCACAUUGUUCGACUCACUUGAAUGUGAUUUCUAUAUAUUCCACCUUUCACAUGGAUAAUGUUGCUCAUAUUUUCUUCGGUGUCUUGUGUUGGCAUCUUUUUCUCUUUUUAUGUGCCAACUGCAUGUUCUUGUACUCAUUACCUGUGUUUCUUUCUUGAGAGAAAGGUAUUAUCGAAUCCUUUUCUGUUUUCCCAAAAUCCUUCGUUCUAUGGUCCCUUGGGAAUUUAAAGCCUGUUUAAUGGACUCGAAGUAUUUUUGCUCAUCCAAUUAUUUUGAGGUUUCUUGAGUUGCAUCUCAAGAAUUGUAGGGAACACAGGAGAGGGCUAGCCACGAGCUUCAAACUUAGAUGUAAUCUUAGAAAGGGACCUGCUGCCUCCCGGGUUGGCUGCGUUUCAAAUAAUAAAAUAACGAUAGAGUGGGGCGAACCACGGUGUGUAUUGUUUGAGAUGGGGAGGGAGGAGUUUGACAACUAAAAUUUUUGCUCUUGUCAACGAAGUGUCAUUGAUUUGCAUCACCUAUAUUAUGAUCUUUUUCUUUUGUUAAUGGGCAUUUGAAGCAAUCAAAUUAAAAGUGAUUUUUUUUCCUGAAAAUAUUGUUCAAGAAUCUAAGGUUGUGAGAGUGGGUAAAUAAUGGUUUCGAGUUUAAGAGGCCAGUUUCCCCCGAAAACAUUUAAGUGGCAGUUGUACUGUCAUAACUGGGGCCUUUCUUCAUUGAAACUUACAUGUUAGUUAGUGGUUGCCAUUGUGCUAUAAUUCAUUUAUGAUUUGCAAAUGUGUGCCCUAGGUAUUGGUAUGUGCUACUUCUAUCGUUCCCAAUUUCCGAUUAGCAAUUAUAGGAACUCUUGAGUCACUAUAUUGACAUGCUUGUUUUUGCACUUCCUGUAACAGAUGAUUGAUGAUCAGGACCUGGGCUUCUUUGCCAAUUUUCUUGGCAUAUUUAUAUUUGUAGUCGUGAUUGCUUAUCAUUAUGUAAUGGCUGACCCAAAAUAUGAAGGCAACUGAAGAGUUCCUUUGAUAUCAACCUAUAGUAUGAGUGUUUUGUCAGUUUAAUUAUGUUUACGCAGUUUGGAAUGAAUACUUUUUUCUAUAGCAAGAGCUUCUCUUGGACAAAUUUAUCCUUGCUUCUAAUUCAUUGAUAAACUUGGAAUAAUUCCCCUUCUAUUUACCAAUUAUUAUAUCUUCUUUGUUGAAAAUUCCAUCUGAUUCCGUGCAUGGUUUUGUCGUGGGACGAAAUGGGUAAUGUUCCCCAGUUGGAUGACAUGUCAUGGGGAAAAUAGCAGAAACAUUGAUGCCAGAUGAAGUUUUUGCGAACAGAAAUUAGGAUUAUUAUUUUGAGGCUGUGUAUAUGUAUUACAGAAAGUAGAACUUGUUCAAGAGAAAUUUGAGUUACAUUUUGGUAUGGGAGGAUGCUGGAAAAAAGUGAAGUUUUAUCAUAUGUAAUCUCAAAAAUUAAAUAGUAGCAGGUAAUCUUACGAAUUUUUAACAUGCCAAUUUACUAUAUUUUCUAAUAGUAGCAAUUGCUGCCACUGGCCCCGCUAUGUAUUAGAGGAGGGGUGGGAAAGUUAGCAAGUUUAAUGUGCGAAAAUAAUAACCACACGUGGCUCACUAUUAGCCUAUUGGACAGCGUUAGAGCUCGUUUUUAUUUGUUUGACGCUUGCUACGUGGGUUAAAGUAGAUGCACGGCCGAUGGAACAAUUUUUGACAGCAUAGAUUGAUUUGCUCCGUAAUUUACUGACUUCACGAGAUAACAAUUGAAUAGACCCGGCAAGAUUUGAGACGAACUUCCUCUUACUCGGAGAGGAUGAUGCAGUUGCAAGCCACGAUACUUCAUCACGAGACCUUGAUAUAACUAUCGAUGGCAUGGUUCCAAUUUAUUCAUGUCCAUCUAAUUAUAUUUGUUUGGAAAAUUAUGUUUCUUGUAUUCUGUUGACUGCGACCCUUGAUCAUCUAGCAAUUGUUUUGAAGUAUUGAAUAUGCUAUCGUAAUCGAAUGAAAAAUUUAGAACUUUGAUUUCAAUUCUUUUCAAUUCCAUAUCAAUAUUAUUUAGAAUCAACAAUUUUAUUGAUUUAGGUUAUUUUGCAUUCGUGCUUGAAUCAA